GACGAACGCUGGCGGCGUGCUUAAUGAAUGCGAGUCGAGCGAGAACCGGACUGAGGAAACCUUCGGGUGGAAUCAGUCUGGGGAGAGCGGCAAACGGGUGAGUAACACGUGGGUAACCUGCCCCUCAGACGGGGAUAAUUCGCCGAAAGGCGGACUAAUACCCGAUGGUGAUGUGCCAACACAUGUUGAUACAUCUAAAGGCUCCGGUGCUGAGGGAGGGGUCCGCGGCCGAUUAGCUUGUUGGUAGGGUAACGGCCUACCAAGGCUUCGAUCGGUAGCCGGUCUGAGAGGAUGACCGGUCACACUGGGACUGAGACAUGGUCCAGACUCCUACGGGAGUUAGCAUCAGGGAAUCUUGCGCAAUGGGCGAAAGCCUGACGCAGCGACGCCGCGUGGGUGAUGAAGGCCUGCGGGUCGUAAAGCCCUGUCGGGAGGGAAGAAACAGCACCUUCGGGUGCUUUGACUGUACCUCCGGAGGAAGCCCCGGCUAAUUACGUGCCAGCAGCCGCGGUAAUACGUAAGGGGCCAGCGUUGUCCGGAAUUACUGGGCGUAAAGAGCACGUAGGCGGUUAGGAAAGCGAUAGGUGAAAUCCCCCGGCUCAACCGAGGAACUGCUUAUCGAACUGCCUGACUAGAGCACGGGAGAGGGCACUGGAAUUCCUGGUGUAGCGGUGGAAUGCGUAUAUAUCAGGAGGAACACCGGUGGCGAAGGCUGGUGCCUGGAACGUUGCUGACGCUAAGGUGCGAAAGCCAGGGGAACAAACGGGAUUAGAUACCCCGGUAGUCCUGGCCGUAAACGAUGGACACUAGGUGUUGGAGGUUCGACCCCUUCAGUGCUGUUAAGCUAACGCGUUAAGUGUCCCGCCUGGGGAGUACGGUCGCAAGGCUGAAACUCAAAGGAAUUGACGGGGGCCCGCACAAGCGGUGGAGCAUGUGGGUCAAUGGGAUGAUACGCCGAGAACCUUACCAGGGCUUGACAUGACCCUGAUCCCCUGCGAAAGCAGGUCUUCUGGGCAACCAGACAGGGCCACAGGUGGUGCAUGGUUGUCGACAGCUCGUGUCGUGAGAUGUUGGGUUAAGUCCCGCAACGAGCGCAACCCUCGCCGGAUGUUGCCAGCGGUUAGGCCGGGCACUCUUCCGGGACUGCCGGAGUAAUCCGGAGGAAGGGGGGGAUGACGUCAAAUCUGCAUGCCCCUUAUGUCCUGGGCUGCACACGUGCUACAAUGGCGUGUACAAAGGGUCGCGAAGCCGCGAGGCCCAGCUAAUCCCCAAAAACUCGUCCCAGUUCGGAUUGGAGUCCGCAACUCGACUCCAUGAAGUCGGAAUCGCUAGUAACCGUGGAUCAGCAAUGCCGCGGUGAAUACGUUCCCGGGCCUUGUACACACCGCCCGUCAAGUCACGGAAGCCGACAGCACCCCAAGUCCGCUACGGCGGCCCAAGGUGAGGUCAGUGACUGGGACU
Molecule: ribosomal RNA, 1461 nt
Filed under: uncultured bacterium
Lineage: Bacteria
Description: bacterial SSU rRNA
Rfam family: Bacterial small subunit ribosomal RNA
Source: RNAcentral